This 255-nucleotide unclassified non-coding RNA is filed under the name Hevea brasiliensis (rubber tree). The record is from RNAcentral. Lineage: Eukaryota; Viridiplantae; Streptophyta; Magnoliopsida; Malpighiales; Euphorbiaceae.
AAAUAGUGUAGACCCUCAAUGUAACCGAGGAGUUAAUUAUCCAUCGUAAUCACCCACUACUGAUAAAAUCUUCAUUCACCCAAGCAUAACUGAGGUUUUCAACUGAAUAUGAACCCACAGGUUGUAACUACAGACAUCACAGCACGUUUGGCUGUUCCGUGAACAUAGUAAGCAGAAGAACUUUAACUGCUCCCUCCCUCUCUUACCUGUAGAUACAUAUGCUAAUACAAGAAAAAAAGAAAUCAAGAAAUAACA